Molecule: ribosomal RNA, 649 nt
Filed under: uncultured bacterium
Lineage: Bacteria
Description: bacterial SSU rRNA
Rfam family: Bacterial small subunit ribosomal RNA (bases 2-552)
Source: RNAcentral
AGAGUUUGAUCCUGGCUCAGAACGAACGCUGGCGGCGUGGCUAAGGCAUGCAAGUCGAACGAGGUGUGUGGAAGGUAACGGAAGCACAUUUACUGGCCAACGGGUGAGGAAUAGAUAGGUUACAUACCCUGGACACAGGAAUAGCGGCGUCCCGACUUGAUCGGGACUUUGCGAAAGUGUCCGUAAUACCUGAUGACAUCACUGGACCGCAUGGUCCGGGGAUCAAAGGUCCGCAGGUCUGGUACCCCCCUAUCUCCUAUCACCUUGUUGGAGGGGUGACGGCCUACCUACGAUUCGACAGAUACCAAGCGUGAGAGAACGAUCUGGCACACCCACGAUUGACACAGCUGACCCGGACAUCUACGCAUGGCUGCAGCCACCAAUAUUCCGCAAUGGCCAAAAACCUGAGUUACCCUCGCUGCGUGACUUAUCUCACCCUUUCGUGUGCAAACCUGAGUACGGGCUUGGGAACAAAGUGAUCAACCCCCCCAAGAAAAGUCCGCUAACUUCUUGCGAACAGCCGCCGUCAAACUCAGGACGCAAUCAUGUUUCUCGAAUUCCUGUUCAAUAACACCGCCUGACAGCCCCCGCGGGAGGGUACCCCUCAGAAAUCCCCCUUCAACUCUAAACGAACGGUCCUGCCCCCUGG